Molecule: long non-coding RNA, 389 nt
Filed under: Vigna radiata
Lineage: Eukaryota; Viridiplantae; Streptophyta; Magnoliopsida; Fabales; Fabaceae
Description: long non-coding RNA (VRAD_LNC009811)
Source: RNAcentral
UCGAGCGAUGCUGUGAGAGGAUGGCACUCAGGGCCCCUUAGAGGGCACCCAAGUGUGGUGCAACACUAGGAGAUUGACGCUCAGUGCCUUAGGAAGGAUGCCCAAGCGUGAAUGCGAGGCUUCAACGCUGAGGGCCUCAAAAAGGGGCAACCAGGCGUCCAUGUGAGCCUCUGGCACCGAGGGCCCUAGAAAAGGGCGCUCAGGCGUCCUACGAUCUUCUUUUCUGGUGUUUUCUGAUAACGUUUGAAAAUAUUGUUAUCUGUUAUGUGAUUUUGAUACUAAAAGCACCCUUUUACACUUAGAAACUUGCUUGGACUCAUGCUUUUGCAUUAAGUUAUGUGAAUAAGAGAGUUGAGGUUGAUUUCAAUAAUUUUAUGACUAAUUCCCCU